RNAcentral lists this small nucleolar RNA (116 nucleotides) under Tetranychus urticae (two-spotted spider mite). RNAcentral's name for it is "snoRNA tetur06g06588". Lineage: Eukaryota; Metazoa; Arthropoda; Arachnida; Trombidiformes; Tetranychidae. The record is from RNAcentral.
AAACAUAGCGACAAAAGAAACGGAAAGAACAAAAAGGGCGAUUUAGAAGAGUGGCUCUUGUAAGCCGUUCUUUUUGUUCUUUUCGUUUCUUUUGUCGCUAUCUUUAGUACUGUCAC